GCCAGGCAUGGUGAUGGGUGCCUGUAAUCCCAGCUACUUGGGAGGCUGAGGCAGGAGAAUCACUUUAACCCGGGAGGCAGGGGUUGCAGUGAGUGGAGAUUAUGCCACUGCACUCCAGCCUGGGUGACAGAGUGAGACUCUGUCUCAG
This 148-nucleotide non-coding RNA is filed under the name Gorilla gorilla gorilla (western lowland gorilla). The record is from Rfam by way of RNAcentral. Lineage: Eukaryota; Metazoa; Chordata; Mammalia; Primates; Hominidae.